UACGUAGGGUGCAAGCGUUGUCCGGAAUUAUUGGGCGUAAAGAGCUCGUAGGCGGUUCGUCGCGUCGGCUGUGAAAUCCCGAGGCUCAACCUCGGGUCUGCAGUCGAUACGGGCGGACUAGAGUUCGGCAGGGGAGACUGGAAUUCCUGGUGUAGCGGUGAAAUGCGCAGAUAUCAGGAAGAACACCCGUGGCUAAGGCGGCUCUCUAGUACGGUACUGACGCUGAGACGCGAAAGCGUGGGGAGCGAACAGG
This 253-nucleotide ribosomal RNA is filed under the name uncultured bacterium. RNAcentral describes it as "partial 16S ribosomal RNA". It matches the Rfam family "Bacterial small subunit ribosomal RNA", at positions 524 to 776 of the family's 1533-position model. The record is from RNAcentral.